This 73-nucleotide transfer RNA is filed under the name Exophiala oligosperma. Its description in RNAcentral is "tRNA-Thr (AGT) (tRNA-Thr-AGT-1-1)". It matches the Rfam family "tRNA". Rfam says of the family: Transfer RNA (tRNA) molecules are approximately 80 nucleotides in length. Their secondary structure includes four short double-helical elements and three loops (D, anti-codon, and T loops). Further hydrogen bonds mediate the characteristic L-shaped molecular structure. tRNAs have two regions of fundamental functional importance: the anti-codon, which is responsible for specific mRNA codon recognition, and the 3' end, to which the tRNAs corresponding amino acid is attached (by aminoacyl-tRNA synthetases). tRNAs cope with the degeneracy of the genetic code in two manners: having more than one tRNA (with a specific anti-codon) for a particular amino acid; and 'wobble' base-pairing, i.e. permitting non-standard base-pairing at the 3rd anti-codon position. Lineage: Eukaryota; Fungi; Ascomycota; Eurotiomycetes; Chaetothyriales; Herpotrichiellaceae. The record is from RNAcentral.
GCCUCUUUAGCCCAGUUGGUAGAGCGCGACACUAGUAAUGUCGAGGUCACUGGUUCGAAUCCAGUAGGAGGCA